This 674-nucleotide ribosomal RNA is filed under the name Liobracon aff. collare CNIN3331. RNAcentral describes it as "partial large subunit ribosomal RNA". It matches the Rfam family "Eukaryotic large subunit ribosomal RNA", at positions 384 to 798 of the family's 3401-position model. The record is from RNAcentral. Lineage: Eukaryota; Metazoa; Arthropoda; Insecta; Hymenoptera; Braconidae.
AGAGUUCAAGAGUACGUGAAACCGUUCAGGGGUAAACCUGAGAAACCCAAAAGAUCGAAUGGGGAGAUUCAUCGUCAGCACAUUUUGUAUAUGUAUAAUUUAUGAUAUGGGUUACUCUUGUAGUAUUGCCUAUACGUAUUUGUGCAUUUAGUUGCAGAAUGUUGUCGGCGUGCACUUCUCCCCUAGUAGAACGUCGCGACUCGUUGAGUGUUGGUCUACGACCAAAGGCGGAAGACUUUAAUAUUUUAAAUAUAUUAAAGACCCUUUGUGUUUUCUGACCAUCUGCUCGGCGAUUUCUUAUGGUAUUAAGCCGCAUUUAAUUUGCGUCCAUAUCCUCGCAGCGAGGCAAGUUUUUAGUAUUACGGACCUAGUGCCGUCGCUAAAUCUGGCCAGCUGUUGGUUGUAACGGUAUUCUAGGACUGGCUUAAAACAAAAUUUAUUGGUCAGCGAUGCUACUGCUUUGGGUACUUUCAGGACCCGUCUUGAAACACGGACCAAGGAGUCUAACAUGUGCGCAAGUCAUUGGGAUAUUUUUUUAAAAUUAAACCUAANGGCGUAAUGAAAGUAAAGGUCGACCUUGUGUCGAUNAANGGAGGAUGAAUUGUAUAAUUAACAAUUGACAAUUUCGCACUCCCGGGGCGUCUCACUCUCAUUGCGAGAGAAGGCGCACCUAG